CCUACGGUGUGCAGCAGUGGGGGAUAUUGCACAAUGGGGGAAACCCUGAUGCAGCGACGCCGCGUGUGGGAAGACGUUCCUCGGGAUUUUAAACCCCUGUCCCCAGGGACAAACAUGACGGUACCUGGGGAGGAAGCUCCGGCUAACUACGUGCCAGCAGCCGCGGUAAUACGUAGGGAGCGAGCGUUGUCCGGAAUUACUGGGUGUAAAGGGAGCGUAGACGGGGAUGCAAGUUGGGUGUCAAAACUACCGGCUCAACUGGUAGUCGCACUCGAAACUGCAGCUCUUGAGUGAAGUAGAGGCAGGCGGAAGUCCUAGUGUAGCGGUGAAAUGCGUAGAUAUUAGGAGGAACACCAGCGGCGAAGGCGGCCUGCUGGGC
Molecule: ribosomal RNA, 379 nt
Filed under: uncultured bacterium
Lineage: Bacteria
Description: partial 16S ribosomal RNA
Rfam family: Bacterial small subunit ribosomal RNA
Source: RNAcentral